GAUGAAGAACGUAGCGAAAUGCGAUACGUAAUGUGAAUUGCAGAAUUCAGUGAAUCAUCGAGUCUUUGAGCGCACAUUGCGCCCCCUGGUAUUCCGGGGGGCAUGCCUGUCCGAGCGUCAUUGCUGCCCUCAAGCACGGCUUGUGUGUUGGGCCUCCGUCCUCCUCCCGGGGGACGGGCCCGAAAGGCAGCGGCGGCACCGCGUCCGGUCCUCGAGCGUAUGGGGCUUCGUCACCCGCUCUUGUAGGCCCGGCCGGCGCUUGCCGACACAUCAAUCUUUUUUCCAGGUUGACCUCGGAUCAGGUAGGGAUACCCGCUGAACUUAAGCAUAUCAAUAAGCGGAGGA
This 345-nucleotide unclassified non-coding RNA is filed under the name soil metagenome. Its description in RNAcentral is "partial contains 5.8S ribosomal RNA, internal transcribed spacer 2, and large subunit ribosomal RNA". The stretch from base 1 to 120 matches the Rfam family "5.8S ribosomal RNA", at positions 35 to 154 of the family's 154-position model. The record is from RNAcentral.